UAUAUUUUGGUGUAUGAUGCACGGGAAUUUUUGAUGUUUCAGGAAUAGUUUAAUUCUAUUAAAUGUAA
This 68-nucleotide transfer RNA is filed under the name Furcilarnaca armata. Its description in RNAcentral is "tRNA-Gln". Lineage: Eukaryota; Metazoa; Arthropoda; Insecta; Orthoptera; Gryllacrididae. The record is from RNAcentral.